ACUUGGUUGAGACUUUGGUGGUUUCUUUAUAUUUGAAGUUGCAUUACCACGUCCGUUGUGUUUUUCUUUAUAUUGCUUAUUUUCGUUACUUAAUAUUAUUCUUAACGUGAAUUUAGAAGAUUUCAACAAACAACACAAAUUCUAACACACCAUUUCAUGUGGUGGGUUUCUUUUCAAACUUAGCAGAUACAUGCAUGAUUCGUUGCUUUCAAUUUUAAACUACUGCUUUAAAUUUUAAAAUUAAAUAAAUAAUAAAACCCAAAUUAGAUCAAAACAAGUCUAAUAUUUAUGGAAAGGCAUAAUGAAAAACAAAUCAUGUCCAUUCUCUUUCAAAUAAGCUCUAAAUUGAUGGUCAUUCUAUUUCCAUUCACUUCAAUCUUCAUGGUUGACCUCAUUAAUAUUUCCCAUGAUUUUCGAUUGUGAAUACCUGCAUCAGAUUAAAUCAAAUAUUCAAUCAAUGAAACCAUAAAUACACAUCAACUCAGCCUCAAUAUUCACGCAUCUCUUUUCAAAACAUCUAAGCAUUUAGCAAUACAGUGUUGUCUUUCAAUUUCAAAUACGAUGGCAAACCACAUUGAUAUGAUUUCAACUAUCAAUGAUGUUCCCCGUAAUUGGAGGUUAAUAGUAAGGGUUGUUCGGUUGUGGGGAGUUCCCGAGUUCAACACACCAAACCAAUUUAGAUCACUAGAACUGGUUUUGAUGGAUUCUGAAGUAUAUUUACAACACUUCUUUUACAUAAUUUCUAUUUCUAUUCUAGCAUGUUGAGAUGUUGAGAUUUACGUCAUAUUAACUAACUGUUUUGCCAUUACAGGGAACUACGAUUCAUUGCAGUGUGAAGAAAACACUAAUUUACCUGUUUUAGAAACAGCUAUCUGAAGGUGUCGUGUACACCCUUACCACGUUUGAUGUGGUCAGAAGCACUGGCGAAUACCGUCCUACAAGUCAUGUUUAUAAGUUGGAUUAUAAUACUAAAUUCACAAGAUCUGAUAGCAUUGUUUUUCUAGAGAUAGUCUACACUUUCACACCACACCUGCUGAUGUUUUCAAAAAUGAUUUUAAUAGAGAUUUCUUGAUUGGUUUGUUAUUUUCAAAACAAAAUCUUGUGUAUAGUGUAUUUAUAUAAUUUAUAUAUAUGCCAUCUAUUUACAAUACGCCGCUGNNNNNNNNNNNNNNNNNNNNNNNNNNNNNNNNNNNNNNAUAUCUAUCGAAAAACUUAUUUUUACUAAAUAUAUUAUUUGUUUACCUUAGGUACUCUUAUCACUUAACAUUGUUUGGUCACUAUGUUGAUGAACUUAACUCUUUCCUUGCAUCCGGUGAUACAAUGAAUGUUGUUGUUGCACUUUUGUUUGCAAAAUCUAAGAUCUUCCAAGGUGAUAAUACAAUUGUUAUGUUUAAAAAUUGUACAGACUCUAAUGUUGUUAGUAAUCAGUUAACCAACAUUGAUCUGAUUUUUUCCAGGCAAACCAGUCCUACAGAAUUCUAUAAAUGCUUCGAGGCUUAUGUUUAACCCUGAAAUUGCUGAAAAUGAUUCUCUGAAAAAGAAUAUUGUAGUGCUGAUUCGGUGUGUAAAUCAGACAAAGACAACGACGUUACAGGAGAAUGGUUCACUACGGAGUUUUUAAAUGAAAUUAAGUGUUCCGGACUUCCAAACCAUAAGUUGAGACUAAAGGAAAAUGUGCCUGUCAUGCUUAUGCGCAACAUUGAUCAAGCACGUGGGUUGUGUAACGGAACAAGACUUUUGGUAAAUUAUNNNNNNNNNNNNNNNNNNNNNNNNNNNNNNNNNNNNNNNNNNNNNNNNNNNNNNNNNNNNNNNNNAGGAACAAACAUCGGUGACAAAAUUGUGCUUUCUCGCAAGAAUUUAAUUCCAACUGAUCCAGGACUACCUUUUAAAUUUCAAAGGAGACAAUUUCCUCUAACUCUUUGUUUUGCUAUGACAAUUAAUAAAAGUCAAGGACAGUCGCUCUCCCAUGUCGGAAUUUACCUUCCUCGACUGGUAUUCACUCACGGUCAGUUGUAUGUUGUGAUGUCUAGAGUCAGGUCGAGAAAUGGACUCAAGUUGUUGAUUUUGGAUGAUGAACAAAAAGUUUGCACUUCAACCAAAAAUGUUGUGUAUCGUGAAAUCUUCACCAAUGUCUAGAAUUUUUUUAAGGUAUAAAUGUCUAGCUUUCCAAUCAUAUCUACUAAUAAUGAUGUUCAUUUCGAUCACCAUUGAAACAUUAUGCUACUGGGAUAUAUUUGUUUAGUAUUGGUUAUUUUCUUCUUAUAUUUAUCCCAAUUUUAUCCCUUUAAAGGUUGUUUAUUUUGAUUUCUCAUUGAGUUAAACAACAUAUGCAGUAAUCAACCUAUAACCAAAUAACAACAUCAACAAAUGAAGAAAACAUUUCAUAAGGCACAUAAUCCAACUAUUCUAUAAGCAAAUUAUAAUUACAUACCUUUACUCAAUUGGAUGACCCUUCUUCAGAUGCUCGCCACUUUAGAAAAUUUCUAACUCUCCAUCAGUUCAACAUCAUUUCCAGCCUCUCUCCACUGCUUCAUAACUUUGAUCUCCUCUCUAGCAUUAUAAGCAUCAGCACGUCUCCGGUUGAAUCAGGAAGAUCGUUAAUCGAACGAACUCCUCAUACCCACGCUUCACCUUCCUACGAAAUUGAAACAACCCUUAAGAACAGAAAAUGCACAAUUUUUGUCUAUUAUAAAGCAAUUGAUCAUUGAUUUCUCACAAAGAUUUACUAACUUCAACAUCAAAAUAAAAAUCCUCAAGAACAAAGCUUCACCAGAUUUAGAAAUGUUGCA
RNAcentral lists this long non-coding RNA (2789 nucleotides) under Trifolium pratense (red clover). Its description in RNAcentral is "long non-coding RNA (TPRA_LNC011807)". The record is from RNAcentral. Lineage: Eukaryota; Viridiplantae; Streptophyta; Magnoliopsida; Fabales; Fabaceae.